RNAcentral lists this ribosomal RNA (468 nucleotides) under uncultured bacterium. RNAcentral's name for it is "partial 16S ribosomal RNA". It matches the Rfam family "Bacterial small subunit ribosomal RNA", at positions 28 to 507 of the family's 1533-position model. The record is from RNAcentral.
GACGAACGCUGGCGGCGUGCUUAACACAUGCAAGUCGAACGGAAAGGCCCUGCUUUUGUGUGGUGCACGAGUGGCGAACGGGUGAGUAACACGUGAGUAACCUGCCCUAGACUUUGGGAUAACCUCAGGAAACUGGGGCUAAUACCGGAUAGGAGACACAGCUGCAUGGCGGGGGUUGGAAAGUUUCGGCGGUUGGGGAUGGACUCGCGGCUUAUCAGCUUGUUGGUGGGGUAGUGGCUUACCAAGGCUUCGACGGGUAGCCGGCCUGAGAGGGUGACCGGCCACAUUGGGACUGAGAUACGGCCCAGACUCCUACGGGAGGCAGCAGUGGGGAAUAUUGCACAAUGGGCGGAAGCCUGAUGCAGCAACGCCGCGUGCGGGAUGACGGCCUUCGGGUUGUAAACCGCUUUCGCCUGUGACGAAGCGUGAGUGACGGUAAUGGGUAAAGAAGCACCGGCUAACUACGUG